GUGCUCACUUCAGCAGCACAUACACUAAAAUUAAAAUGACACAGAGAUUGGCAUGGCCCCUGCGCAAGGAUGACACACAAAUUUGUGAAGCAUUUCAUAUUUAA
Molecule: small nuclear RNA, 104 nt
Organism: Callithrix jacchus (white-tufted-ear marmoset)
Lineage: Eukaryota; Metazoa; Chordata; Mammalia; Primates; Cebidae
Source: Ensembl